UCGAACGGUAACAGGAAGCAGCUUGCUGCUUUGCUGACGAGUGGCGGACGGGUGAGUAAUGUCUGGGAAACUGCCUGAUGGAGGGGGAUAACUACUGGAAACGGUGGCUAAUACCGCAUAACGUCGCAAGACCAAAGAGGGGGACCUUCGGGCCUCUUGCCAUCAGAUGUGCCCAGAUGGGAUUAGCUUGUUGGUGAGGUAACGGCUCACCAAGGCGACGAUCCCUAGCUGGUCUGAGAGGAUGACCAGCCACACUGGAACUGAGACACGGUCCAGACUCCUACGGGAGGCAGCAGUGGGGAAUAUUGCACAAUGGGCGCAAGCCUGAUGCAGCCAUGCCGCGUGUAUGAAGAAGGCCUUCGGGUUGUAAAGUACUUUCAGCGGGGAGGAAGGUGUUGUGGUUAAUAACCGCAGCAAUUGACGUUACCCGCAGAAGAAGCACCGGCUAACUCCGUGCCAGCAGCCGCGGUAAUACGGAGGGUGCAAGCGUUAAUCGGAAUUACUGGGCGUAAAGCGCACGCAGGCGGUCUGUCAAGUCGGAUGUGAAAUCCCCGGGCUCAACCUGGGAACUGCAUUCGAAACUGGCAGGCUUGAGUCUUGUAGAGGGGGGUAGAAUUCCAGGUGUAGCGGUGAAAUGCGUAGAGAUCUGGAGGAAUACCGGUGGCGAAGGCGGCCCCCUGGACAAAGACUGACGCUCAGGUGCGAAAGCGUGGGGAGCAAACAGGAUUAGAUACCCUGGUAGUCCACGCCGUAAACGAUGUCUACUUGGAGGCUGUGCCCUUGAGGCGUGGCUUCCGGAGCUAACGCGUUAAGUAGACCGCCUGGGGAGUACGGCCGCAAGGUUAAAACUCAAAUGAAUUGACGGGGGCCCGCACAAGCGGUGGAGCAUGUGGUUUAAUUCGAUGCAACGCGAAGAACCUUACCUGGUCUUGACAUCCACAGAAGUUUGCAGAGAUGCGAAUGUGCCUUCGGGAACUGUGAGACAGGUGCUGCAUGGCUGUCGUCAGCUCGUGUUGUGAAAUGUUGGGUUAAGUCCCGCAACGAGCGCAACCCUUAUCCUUUGUUGCCAGCGGUUAGG
This 1078-nucleotide ribosomal RNA is filed under the name Salmonella enterica subsp. diarizonae. RNAcentral describes it as "bacterial SSU rRNA". It matches the Rfam family "Bacterial small subunit ribosomal RNA", at positions 62 to 1129 of the family's 1533-position model. Lineage: Bacteria; Pseudomonadati; Pseudomonadota; Gammaproteobacteria; Enterobacterales; Enterobacteriaceae. The record is from RNAcentral.